Molecule: ribosomal RNA, 506 nt
Filed under: uncultured bacterium
Lineage: Bacteria
Description: partial 16S ribosomal RNA
Rfam family: Bacterial small subunit ribosomal RNA
Source: RNAcentral
AUUGAACGCUGGCGGCAGGCCUAACACAUGCAAGUCGGACGGUAGCACAGAGGAGCUUGCUCUUCGGGUGACGAGUGGCGGACGGGUGAGUAAUGUCUGGGGAUCUGCCCGAUAGAGGGGGAUAACCACUGGAAACGGUGGCUAAUACCGCAUAACGUCGCAAGACCAAAGAGGGGGACCUUCGGGCCUCUCACUAUCGGAUGAACCCAGAUGGGAUUAGCUAGUAGGCGGGGUAACGGCACACCUAGGGGACGAUCCCUAGCUGGUCGGAGAGGAUGCCCAGCCACACUGGAACUGAGACACGGUCCAGACUCCUACGGGAGGCAGCAGUGGGGAAUAUUGCACAAUGGGCGCAAGCCUGAUGCAGCCAUGCCGCGUGUAUGAAGAAGGCCUUCGGGUUGUAAAGUACUUUCAGCGGGGAGGAAGGCGAUGUGGUUAAUAACCGCGUCGAUUGACGUUACCCGCAGAAGAAGUACCGGCUAACUCCGUGCCAGCCGCCGCCGUAA